Molecule: long non-coding RNA, 684 nt
Organism: Meriones unguiculatus (Mongolian gerbil)
Lineage: Eukaryota; Metazoa; Chordata; Mammalia; Rodentia; Muridae
Exons: 4
Source: RefSeq, a predicted model, not a curated record
CCCAGAGGAGCUUUUAAAAGCCUAAUAGGAGGUUUCCAGACAGUUCUAAUGGGCUGUGGCUGACCUUACAGAGCCGAAACAUCUGUUAAGUCUCUGUCUGUACCACACAGACAUCUAACUUGGGCAGAAGCUCUGGAGAGCUGCCUCCUGAAUCAACACCUGAACCAAGCGACUGUGGCCUUCUCAAUGAAGGUGAUGUUCACAGACUGUUUCUAACUAUAUCAGCAUUUUUUGGAGGCAGUGAGCACCCAGACCUGAGCUGCAAUCCUGUCGUGCUUCAUUCUUACUUCCUGCAUUCAUUGUUCUCACUGAUCUCCAUGAGAACCUGACAGCCAAGACUAUACGACCACACUCUAAGAAUCAACGGGGACUCUGGCUUUUGAUGUCCCAUGAGCUCCACGGAAGACCAACAGACCCAACUAAACAGGCCCCAGAGGAGCUUGCUGAAGCUGAAGCAUCAACCAGGGACCAUGCAGGAACUGGACCUAGACCCCUACAAAAUGUAGCCCAUGGGAUCCUCAAGUAAGGGAAGUAGGGACUGCAUCUGACAAGGACUUUCCUGCCAGCUUUUUGAUCACUUCUUCCUGAUGGGACUGCCUUGCCAGGGCACAGGAGAAGAGGAGACACUCAGUCCUGAUGUGACUUGAUGAGCUGGGGUGGUGGAUGGGAAGGGGGGUUCCCCUU